This is a long non-coding RNA of Patiria miniata (bat star), 2718 nucleotides long. RefSeq lists it as uncharacterized. The transcript has 2 exons. Lineage: Eukaryota; Metazoa; Echinodermata; Asteroidea; Valvatida; Asterinidae. The record is from RefSeq and is a predicted model, not a curated record.
GUGUGUAACUGCAGCGCGGCCCAGAUUUCGGACACGUAUUUUGUUCAGCCUAUUUUUCGAUUUAUUUGCCAUAUGCUACUUGCUAGUUUCAUCUCUGUUAUUGAUUAUCCUAAAUGUUUUGUUUUGCAUAAUAUACAAUUUAUUGAUAAAGGUUGGGUAGGUGUUACCCCAUGCUAAAAUACCAUAUUGAAGGUGAGGCAGGGACAACGUAUUAUAAAUUGAAAAUAAGAUAUCUGAAGGUAAUUCGUGUUUUAGUUUUCUUAAGAUACCCUGGUUCCGAGAAAAUGACAUUAGGACUUUUUGGCAGUGUUGCUUCCAAGAAAGUUUACUAUCAAUAAUUACACCUAGAAAUUUACAUGUUUCGACUUGUUCUAUUUGUGUGUCAUUUAAGUAAACACUGAUAAUCCUGUCGACCUUACCAUUGGAGAACAACAUACAUUGUGGAUUUCUUUUAAUUAACAGAUAGUUUAUUACAUUUAAACCAAUCAGUGAUUUUGCAUAGUUGUCGAUUAACAGUGUCAACUGCCUUAAGUAAGUUAUUACUGCUUUAAAUAACAUCAGUGUCAUCUGCAAAUAAAAUAAAGGAGAGCAUUUUGGAAGAGUUACAAAUGUCAUUUAUGUAAGCCAGAAAAAGUAUAGGGCCAAGUAUUGAACCUUGAGGAACUACACAACUGACUGGUGCAAAAGUAGAUUUGGUAUUCUGCCAUACCACAUACUGUUUCCUGUCACUUAAAUAGUUUUUAACCAAUCCCAAGCAAUUCCUCUAAUUCCAUAUUUAUUUAGUUUACUAAUCAAAAUAUUAUGGUCUCUUGUGUCAAAGGCUUUUAAGAGGUCCAAAAAUAGACCGACUGUGUGAAGAGAGUUGUCAAGUGAGGAACUUAGUUUUUUUCAAUGAGGUCAAUCAGUGCCAGAUGAGUUGAAUAGUUGGCCCUAAAACCAUACUGAGUCGCUGAUAAAAUAUUAUAUUUAUCCAUAAAGUUAUACAUUCGAUUUGCUACAAGUCUUUCUAAUAUUUUUGUAAAGUAGGGUAAAAUAAAAAUAGGACUGUAGUUACUAAUAAGGGAUGGAUCGCCAUUUUUGUAUAUGGGAAUAACUUUAGCUAUUUUCAAAUCAGUAGGUACUUUUCCUGAUUCGAAGGAACGGUUAAAAAUUGUCAAAGGAUUUAGUAUGUACGGUGCUAUAUCUUUAAUAAUGUGAUGAUCGAUCUCAUUAUGUCCUCUGCUUUUUUUGCUAGGAAGUUUAUUUAUACAAUUACAAAGUUCUUCAGUUGUUAUUGGGGUCAGAAACAAGGAAUUAGGUAAAACAUCACUUAAAAAUCUAGUGGGUCUAAAGUUGAUCGAGGGAUUUUCUGAGCUAAUUCAGGGCCUACAUUUAUAAAGAAAUUAUUAAACUGAUCAGCAAUUGUUUCAGGGUCUACAAUAUCUGAGUUGUUUAUCUUGAAUGAAGCAGGAGGCCGGGUGUUUUUUGAAUUUUCUUGAGAAUAUUGUUAAUAAGUUUCCAAGUAUUAGUUAAGUUAUUUUUUUCUUUGUUAAACAUCAUGGUGUAGUAUUUUGUCUUGGCUACUCUAAUGAUGUUAGUUAGAUUAUUUUUAUAUCUUACAUAUUUACACUUAUUUGAGUCCGUGGGAUUACUAAGAUAUUUUUUAUAUAAUAUGUGUUUUCGUCUAAUAGAUUUUAGCAGCCCCGUUGUCAUCCAUGGAUUAACAAUGAUGUUUUUACGGGAUUUAAAUCUCUUAUAAGGUAUUUAUCGUAAAGGUAAUUUAGUUUCUGUAUAAAUCUGGUGUAACGCCCAUCAAUGUUAUCUUCCAGCAGUUCUAAUCAACAUCGUUUAAUUCAUUCUUAAGACUAGCCAUAUUUGAUGCAAAAGUGUUUCUUUUCCAGUAAAAUACUUGUUUUUCUUUAGUUGUCAGAUUUGGUCCAAAUAUAAAAAUAGGUAGGUGAUCACUUAACCCAGAUAAUAGGAUUCCAGUUAAAUGAGGUUCAAUACCAUUUGUGAAAAUAUUGUCUAACAAGGUAGCUAUAUUCACGUUAUUCUGGUAGGUUUGUCGAUUGUUGGCCGAAAAGCAUGGCUAUACAAUGCAUUUAAGAAAUUGUUGCUUUGGGUGUGAGUUUCAUAAUUUAGUAAGUUUAUAUUGUAAUCACCAAGCAAAUAGCAAGUUUUAGUUUCAGAUGCAAUUUUUCCAAGAAUUACGGACACUUCUUCCAUAAAUGAGGCAAGAUUCAUACCGGGCGGCCUGUAAAUUAAACCAACUAUGAUAUUGUUUGUAUUUUUCGUUUGGAUUUCAAUAAAAAGUGAUUCAUAAUAAUUGGAUUGGAUAACUAGGUCAUGACGUAAACUAAAUGAUACUGAGUCCCUGAUAUAUAACAUAAUACCACCCCCCCCCCUUCGAUUAUUAAAAACUCAAUUUUGUAGCCAGGAAGAUAUAACAAAGAAUCUGGUUCAUUUUUUAGCCACGUAUCGGUUAACCCUAUAAUAUGAAAUUUGUGAGCAAUUUCCUCCAAAGUGAGGGUAAGAUCGUUAAAAUUUUUACCAAUAUUCCUGAUAUUUGCAUGAAACAUCGAGAAAGGUUCGUCACAUGAUAGCUGUUGAGUCAUAGCUUUUGCUUGUUGUUCAGUAAAGUAUUUAGUACCAGGUGAAUUAUAUAAUGGAUCACCAGAGUCUUCUUUGUCUAAAGGAAUUGGAUUAAAAACGCAGUCUUGGAUGCGAUUUAGAAUGUCA